Molecule: microRNA, 21 nt
Filed under: Picea abies (Norway spruce)
Lineage: Eukaryota; Viridiplantae; Streptophyta; Pinopsida; Pinales; Pinaceae
Description: pab-miR11538
Source: miRBase by way of RNAcentral
UGCAGACUGUGUGUGGACAAG